Molecule: ribosomal RNA, 1063 nt
Filed under: Amynthas sp. 2 JJ-2013
Lineage: Eukaryota; Metazoa; Annelida; Clitellata; Crassiclitellata; Megascolecidae
Description: partial 12S ribosomal RNA
Source: RNAcentral
CUAUAACUCGAUAAUCCACGUAUAACCGACCUUCCUUUGAUACUACAGCAUGUGUACUGCCGUUGCAAGCAUACCUUUAAAAGAAUAAGUGUGCCACUAUGACUAAAUAAACAGCUCAUAUACAUCAGGUCAAAGUGCAGCUAAUAAGAAGGAGAUGAUGGGUUACAACCCUAAAAAAGACAAUCAACUAAGAAAUUAAAAAUCUUACGAAAGUGGACUUGGCCGUAAUCAAUUUACAAGUUAAAAAAAUGAAUAAACACCUAAGACAUGCACACAUCGCCCGUCACUCUACCCUAAAGGGUAGAUAAGUCGUAACAAAGUAGGUGUAAUGGAAAUUGUACCUGUCGAAGUAUAGCAUAUAUAAUGCUUUUUACUUACACUAAAGACAAAGUUAAAUAACUUGCUUCGCCCAUGUAACAAAAUCUUAUAAGUAAUCAAAUAAUAGAAACAACUAAACAAAUAUAAUAGACAACAAAGUACAGAAAUGGAAAUGAUAAUAAAUAAAAGUAAGUAUUAACAACUGUACCUUGUGCAUUAUGGUUUUACAAGAAAAUAGUUAAAAACAACAAUCCCGAAUUCUAAGUGAGAUGUUAAACUGCUGUUAUGAACUCACUAAUAGCUGUAGAAUAAGCUUUAAAAGACAGUUUGACAGAGGCUACAUACCACCCGCAUAAGAAUAUAGCUGGUUUUCAACAAACAUUAUACAUUAAAACAUAUAAUAAUAUUAUAGUGUAAAAUUAUUGAGGAUAAGCCCAAUAACUUACAGCAAUAAACACAAUAUAUUAAUCUACAACCAUAGGCCUAAAAUCAGCCAACUAUAAUACUUUACCGUAAUACACACUGAUAAAAUAUAUAACACAGGAACUGCUAAAAUAAGUUGAAAUAGUGGAAUAAUCAACCCAUCCACCUAUACUAUGUAAAAAUAAGUAUUAUAAAUAUAAAAUAUUAACAACCUAGUAAACAACAACACAUAAACAACUAUAAUUAAUUAAGGAACUCGGCAAACAUUAUUUCGACUGUUUAACAAAAACAUUGUCUCAUGUAAAAUAUAUGAGAUAAUACC